Molecule: long non-coding RNA, 33332 nt
Filed under: Citrus maxima (pomelo)
Lineage: Eukaryota; Viridiplantae; Streptophyta; Magnoliopsida; Sapindales; Rutaceae
Description: long non-coding RNA (CMAX_LNC002516)
Rfam family: Plant small nucleolar RNA R71 (bases 20312-20415)
Source: RNAcentral
CAGUUCUGUUUUUGCAGUGAUUAAGCGCAUAGAAGAUAUUAAUGGCUUUACUUAUCAUCAUCAACUUCCUUUUGUGUCUCCCCUUCUUCCUCUUCUUCUUUGCUUUGCAAAGGCUCAUAACCUCAAGAAAUAAUACUAAAUUACCACCCGGCCCCUGGGGCCUUCCCUUAAUCGGUAACUUACACCAGUUUGAUGUCUCAAAGCCUCAAGUGUCAUUUUGGGAGCUGUCACGGAAAUAUGGCCCCCUCAUGUCCUUGCGUCUUGGUUUUGUGCCAUCCCUAGUAGUUUCCUCAGCAAAACUGGCUAAAGAGAUAUUAAAAACCCAUGACCUUCAAUUUUGUAGCAGGCCAGCCUUGGUAGGACAACAAAAGUUAUCUUACAAUGGUCUUGAUUUGGCGUUUUCACCCUAUGAUGGUUAUUGGAGAGAGAUAAGAAAAAUUUGUGUCAUUCAUCUCUUUAACUCUAACAGGGUAGAAAAUUUUCGACCCAUUAGAGAAGAUGAAGUUUCAAGAAUGAUUGAAAAGAUUUCAAAAUCAGUUGCUGCUUCUAAUCCCGUAAACUUAAGCGAGGUAAUGAUGUCUCUUACCAGCACCAUUAUUUGUAGAAUUGGAUUUGGCAAGAGGUAUGAUGACGAUAAAGCAACAAGUGCAAGAAGUAGAUUCCAUGCCCUGCUUAAUGAAACUCAAGCCUUGUUUGUAAGCUUUUUUGUUACAGAUUAUUUUCCUUUCAUGGGCUGGAUUGAUAAGCUCACAGGAAUGAUGCAACGCCUGCAAAAUAACUUCCAAGAACUCGAUAGAUUCUACCAGGAACUCAUCGACGAGCAUUUGGAUCCAAACAGAACAAAAUCAGAAUUGGCGCAACAGGAGGAUAUAAUUGAUGUUUUACUUCAAAUACGAAAAGAUCGUGGAUUUAAAGUUGACUUGACUUUGGACCACAUCAAAGCGGUGCUCAUGGUGAAUAAUUUUAUAAAUAGUUAUAUGUAGACUCGUGCUCAGGCGCAGACUUAAAAUUUUGUGCAGAUACCCAAUUUUACAGUCUUGUAAAAUGGUUUAUAAUGCUGUAAAGUGCCUUUGAUGUCCGCCUGAACAUGAUUAAUUUAAUGUAAUUUUAUUUGCUUUUAACUAAUUUACUAUGUAUGUAUGUAUGUUGUUUGUUUUGCAGAACGUACUCGUUGCUGGAACAGACACGAGUGCAGCAACUGUGGUUUGGGCCAUGACUUACCUAAUGAAGAAUCCUAGAGCAAUGAAAAAAGUUCAACUGGAAAUCAGAUCGUUGAUUGGGUGCAACAAAGGCUUUGUAAAUGAAGAUGAUGUUCAAGAACUGCAUUAUCUUAAAGCGGUAGUGAAGGAGACAAUGAGAUUGCAACCCACAGUACCAUUACUAAUCCCAAGAGAAACAAUUCAAAAGUGCGUAAUAGAUGGGUAUGAAAUACCAGCUAAAACACUUGUCUUUGUAAAUGCAUGGGCGAUAGGAAGAGACCCUGAAGCUUGGGAGAAUCCGGAGGAAUUUUAUCCGGAGAGAUUCGUUGAUAGCUGUAUUGACUUUAAAGGGCAACACUUUGAAUUAAUACCGUUUGGUGCUGGCAGAAGAAUUUGUCCUGGGUUGAAUAUGGGAAUCGCAACUGUGGAUCUCGCACUUGCUAAUCUUCUUUACAAAUUUGAUUGGGAAAUGCCGCCUGGAAUGAAGAGCCAAGACUUGGACUUUGAUGUUCUGCCGGGAAUUACUAUGCAUAAGAAGAAUGCUCUCUCUCUUUCGGCUAAGUAUCAUGAGUAGGUAAAUUAAGGCACCUCGGACAAUAAGAGUUUGAUCUGAACUAAAUAUAUGUUAUAGAGAUUGCAUGUAUGUCCUGAAUUGUGCUUCUCAUGUUUCCUUUCUUUCUUCUUAUGUAUAAUGAAUGUUGAUGUCUAAGUGCCCAUAGGCUGAGUGGUUUUUAAUAAUUAAAUUUCUUUUAGUUCAAAAUUUUGGGAGGUAAGGACUAGAGAAUAAUAGUUACUCUGCUCACUCUCCUAUACUAAAAAAAAAAGGUUGAUAUGAAUGUGAAUAUUAAUCUAGUACGUUCAUUUCAUCUCAUAUUUUUUCUCCUAUAUUUUUUUCUUUAAAUUUAACUUCUAUCACUUAACCUGCUAUCUUUUUAUAUGAUUGGAUAGAGAUUGAAAUUUUUGCUGUUCCAUCUCAAUGUUAAUGCUUAUAUUAUCUUCACACCUUUACUGUAAUUUUUUACUUUUACUAUUAGAUGCUGAUAGGGUCUUUUCUUGGAGAUUGCUUCACAAAAAAAAUUCUGAAAGAAGAUUUUGUUGAUCGGAUAGCAAGCUUAUCCAUAUAGUUUAAUGGAUUAUCUGCAAGAGCUCUUUUUAGUGCGCAUACAGUUGUCCCUUCAUGUUAGCAUAUUCAUUCUGUCGUCAAUGAACUUUUGCAUUUAAAUGGUAUCAGUUCAAGUGAUGAAUGAAUUUUACCUAUUGCCUAUCUUGGACUAAAUUUAAUUUCAAAAAAUGAGCUUCCAGCUUAUGACUUAUACGUAUCUUGCACUUUGGUUUUACGAUCACCAUUGGAUGGAAGAGUGGCUCGAGUUUGUUAAUUGCUUCAGUCCCAGGACUAGUGUUUGGAAACAUAAAAUUUCUCAGUUCAGCAGCUAUAAAUCUGUUUCAUGAUUGUUAUUGCACACUAUUUCCUAUAUUUUUGUCUCCAUGCUCAUACUGAAUUAGUGGUGCAUUUGUCAUCUUUCGCCUCUCAUUAAAAUGUGCUUAUUAUUUUUUAUUUCAAUCGUAGGAUGGGAAGAUUGAUACUGAUUCCAUCUACAAUGGGUUUAAAGACAACGUGAGGUUAAUGUGGGAGCGUUUCUUGUCAUCCCAGCAAAUGUUGACAUAAACAACAGACUGCAAGCUUCCCCUACUCUCUGUUCAUAUUUGCAUUUGUGUGCAUCUUGUACUUGUUGUUGCAGAAAGAUGAAUAUGUAAGAAUAAGAUCGUGUUUGUAUGCAAUGGUCAAAUGUUUUUGCAAAAAAUGUCGUUGCUUGAGUUCCUCAAUUCUCAUUCUGAACUUCAAAUUUUGUACAUUUCUUUAACUUAAUUUUUUUUUUUUCUGUGUAAUAGUAGUAUAAGUUUGGUAUCAAAAUUAAGCUAGUGACAUACUUGGAUCACUUGGGAUCCACUUGCAAAUGUAUUUUGAAGAAAAGUUUUCUCCCCGCCUUUUAUGUAAUCACACCCACCAGUAAUAUGGUAAUUUAUUGAAAGGUCCUUGAUGCCCGGUAAAAGUUAUAAUUAAAUUAAUAAACUUAUCUUUUUAAAUUAAUAAACUCAUCUUUUUGAAUAAGUUCAUCAUUUUGUACGUAUAUUAGUUUUUUUUUUUUAAAUUCCUUUUAUUUCUAAACUAUUGGUUGGAAGCAAAUAUUUCACUGUAAUCUCCUGUCGACCAAAGGAGAUGCCUUUCCCAAAGCAAGAAAAGAAAACACAAAAAGCCCACUUCAAAAACUUGUGCAAGAAGGAGAUGUGAUUACGCUGUCUUUCUGUUUCUUGGUGCGUGUAUAGAUAUAUACAUACACACAUAAGUCUGAGGACCAGCUGGCCAACAGCCCACUAGGAAGCAAUUUUAAAAUUUUUGGUCAGUAUUGUUCUUUAUAUCUUAUGAAUUUUUCCUUCAAUUAUUAUAUUUUCACUCAGUUUUGUUUUUGGGCACGCGUUAUGUGAUUUUCUUUUGAUGAUUUCCGUGGCUUCUUUUUAGCUCUUAUUUUACUGUUUCUACUGGUUAGUUUAGCUACUGUCUACUGAGAUAAAAUUAUUUGCUUGAAUAACUUAAUCUUUUGCUAUUUUAUUACGUUCAGUUUAUAUACAGUUGAUUCAUUGUAACAAAUGUUAUCAUAAAUGAUUCUUGAGUAAUUUCAUUUAUUUACUUUUUCUUCUUUCAUAGUUGGCCUGUACGGUAUCAUUUACUUUUAUCUUUUUUCAAAUUUCUUUUAAUCUACAGAAUGUUUGUUUUAGUCCUGAUCUUGGGUUACUGAAAUGUUUCAUUCCCUUUUCCUAAGUAUUUUUGUUGCUUGUUUAUCGGGCAAUACUGCAACAGUGAUUUUAAUUCACAAAAUUCUGUAAAUACUUAUUAUUCUUAGUGUGGUUUUAAGGUAGAGUGAAGUUAAUAUUAUCAUAAUGGCUUACAUUCCUCCACAUAUGAGGCAUACGAAGGACCCCCAGAGGCCAUCUCCAGUUCCAGAGAUGAUUGUGCCUAAAUUCAACAGAAAAUUAAACUUGGGAUCAUCCAAGCAUAAUGCAGACAUAAGUGGAAAGAUCGUGUAUGCAGAUCCUGCCAUACACAGGUGGUUCAUUUGUGGCUUGGAUAAUGAUAGCAGCAGUCCUUCUGUCCGCUUUGUGGAGUUUUCAGACGACCCUGUUGAGCAUAAAAAAUCGACGACCAUUAAUCUGGCUCGAGGUUACUGAUCUGCAUUUGUAAUUUUAUCUUAAAUAUGUUCUACUUUCUUUCUUUAUUUAUAUCUGGUGCUAACUUUAGUUAUAUUGACAUUUGGAUUUUGGGUUGGUAGAUAACGAUAAAUUGUGUGGGAAUACAUCAAGAAGCCCAUGGGAAUCGAUAGCAGAAAAUGUAUGGCCAGAUGUAUUGAGUGCUUGUAAUAUUGUCAAGAACGAAAUGGAGGAAAAGCCAACAAUGGUUGCUAGAUUUGGCCAUCAUCUUUUCCGUGAGUAUGUGAUCUGGUUCCAUUGCUGUAACAGCUUGAAUUUUUUAUUAGGUCAUUCCUUUUCUUUGGACUUUGAAAUUAAAGCAGCAAAAAUGCAUAUUCAUACUUAAUUCUGACAGAAAUCUUAUGGUCAUAUAAGUGGUGGCAGCUAAAAUUAUGAGCUUUACCAUUAACCCUACCACCAGCUGUGGAUGACUGUAAAUCGGAUCUCUAAACCAGGGACAAAAGUUAAAAUUGCUUUUAAAAGCCAAAGAGGAAAAUGGCAAUUUAUAGUGCAUGCACUUCUUUCAGACUUGUAUCUCAUAGAAGCUUUCAUGGCAUCUGGAAUUUGGCUUUGGCUUUGCGUAGGACAUUUCAAUUGUUGCUGGUGGAAACAAAUAUAUCCAUUGUCUUAGUUUUGCUUGAUUUCCGGUGCAAGAAACAAAUAAAUUUGUUGCCGUGGCCAAGUUUUGUUGUUUGAUAUUUCAUUGGGACAACAAAGUAUACCACUGCUUCGCCUAUUUCUUACAUCUUUGCAUCAUAUAUUUCCAUUCUUCUAUCACAUCUUUGAAGCUUCUACUAGUUCUCAUAUUAGAAGCGCCUCAAAGAAAUAAUUAUUAUAUUAUUCGUCUUAAUGAAGGAGUGACAUACUGAGCUUAGAAAAUGCGAAAGAAGGUCAGGUUGCUGAAUCUGCUUUGAGCCCACUGAGGAGAUGCUUUUACACUGGUGUCCCUCCUACAUACAUGGGAAAAAUUGUAAAUGAAGUUGUGCCAAAAAUUGGGGUUGGUUUUGUAGAGAACAAGGAUAUAUACCAUGUCAAGGUAGUUCUCCUGCAGUCCUGCUAAAUACUUUAGUAGUCAUGACCAAGUUUCUUUUAUCUCUCAAUUAAUUAGCCAUUGAUUCCCCCCCCCCCUUUCUUUUUCUUGUGUAGUUGUCUGAUGGCACACGACAAAUUACGUGCAAAUGUACUGUUAAAGAAGAUCAAAAGCUUCAUCUCUAUAAGGCAAGUCUUUUGCUACUGGCUGAGUAUUAUUUAUGGACAACGGGUCCAAGUUUAUAAGUUGCCUCUUGUGUUAAGGAGACUUUUGCUAGUGGAAACAUUGAAACAAGACUUAUGAUGUUUUGAUUUGAAUGAUAUAAUCUUUUCACUGUGAAUUAUGAAGGAGAUGUCGAAUAUAAGCGAUAGAUAUCAAGAAAGAGACGAAACCUUUGUGUCUCAAAAGAACCUUUUAGAAGUCUCUCCAGGAAUAAUCUCAGUUAAGAGGAAAAGAAUUUAAAAUGAAAAGAAGGAAGAAAAUUCUCAAGAAGUAAGACUAAUUCUACAUCUAAUUGAGGAACAGGCUUGUUAAUUUAACAAGGAAAGCUCCAGUAGCUAUUUAUUAUAAACCAAUUAAAAAUUGAAUUAAAUUAAUAGUUAACUUGUAAUUGAAUGUCUAAUCCAACAAACUAUGCAUAAGAUUACAGACGUAACUAUGUAAUACAAAAAACCUCUGCUUAUUGUAGACCAAAGUGAAUAUGCCAAUAUUUAGGAAUUUCUUUCAGCAUCAUGGGAUUUAGAUCCCUAUAAUCUUUUUUUAUUUUAGUGUAGUGACGUCCGGAAGACCAGAAUUAUCACGUACCUCGUACUAGUCGUUUUAUUUAUUUUGUCUUUUAAAGCGCCACAUUAUUUCCCAUACAGUCAUAAUAUAUCUAUUUUUUGUUUAUUUAUCGUUGCCGUGUGUGGAGUCUCAUCUUGAAUAUGAACAUUUUUCCGGUAGGUCGAACUGAACUCUGUUCGUCACAUGGUAGCAGACAUGUUAUGCGUUCAUAAAAAUCUAGACCUGAGGUUGGCACUAUGUUCAAAGAGUACCUUAUCUGCUCUCUCGGUAAGUCAAUCUGCUCCUCCGUGCAUGUUUUAGCUGGACUUUUAAGUUACGCCUUCUUUUUUCCCCUUUUUAUUUUAUUUGGUCAUUUGCUUGUUGGAAUCAUCAUCAUUACAGAAUGAUGAAGAAAAAUUCAAGACCAGGGGAAAUAAGGAAAUAUUAAACUUAUAGCUUUUGUUUUAUCAUAGAAAGUUUACUUUCAAGGGGUUGAGAAAAAAUUUAUAUAUAUAUAUAUACACACACACAUACACACACACACACACACACACACGACAAGCUUAAAACGGUUAAACAUUAGCAUGCAUGAUCCUUUUCUUCAAAACUGAAACUUUACAAAUGUUAAAAAUAGAAUAACAAAUAAAUUAUUAGAUUUCCAAAAUCAGUUACCGUUAUGCAGGCUUAAAACAAAAGUUAAAUAUAAGCUCUUUUUUUUUUUUUUGGGGGGGGGGGGGGGGGGGGGGCGUGUGUGCCUAUGAGUAGUCCCAGCAAAUGAAUUCUAUGAUCAAACUGAAAUUUUUGAAUUUUCAGGAUGAUGAAAUGAACAGCAUUAGAAUUCUGAUUAAUUCAGCCAUUCCGGAUCCGGAAGUCAAGGGUGGGUUAAGAUGGCCCAUGGGGAAGUCAUAUUCAGGGGAUUACACAAUUGUUGGGGUUUGGCACAAUGAAUUUAAAUCAUAUAAAAGCCCAUCACUAAAGCUUAAGGUAAGAAAUGUUGAUCGAUUUAUUUUCAAGACUGGAACUGGGGAAGCUACGAUUGAGAUUAAUCUAAAGUUGAGAAGACUAGUUUCAGAGAUUCAGGUACUUGCUGCUUUUUGCUUUAACUUUUAUCACAAAACCUACUAUCUUUGUGCAUGAUUACAUGGAUCUUGAAAUUCUUGCUGUUAUGUCAUAAUGUUAAUGCAUAUUUUGUCUUCACGCAUUUCUUACUGAACUUGUGUCUUGAGCUGUAAUUGUAAUUUCCAAUUUUUACUAUUAGAUGGGUAUUUUAUUGGGGAUUUCUUUACUUAAAAAAAAAAUAUGUUUGACAGAGAAUAUUUUAACGAUGAGAUUGCAAUAUUGUAAUAGAUAAUCUUCAGGAACUCUUUUUACCUUUUAGUAGUUAUGCAGUUGCUCCUCUGUGUUAGCUUAUUUAUUCUAUCAUAUGUAACGAAUGACUUUUUACCAAAUUUGAUUUCAAAGCUGAGCUUCCAGCUUAUGACUAAUAUUUGUGUCUUGCACUUUUGUUUUACAAUCACCAUUAGAUGGAAGAGUGCUUAGAGUUAGUUAAUUGAUUCAAUCCCAGGAUUAGUCUUUUGAAACAUAAAAUUUAUCGGCUAAGCUAUAUAAAUCUGUUUCAUGUUUCUUAUCGCACACUAUUUCGUAUGGCUUUGUCUCCAUGCUCAUACAAAAUUAGUGUUGUAUUAGAUGUCUUCUGUCUUUCAUUCACAUGUACUUAUUACUUUUUCUUUCAAUCGUCAGGAUGGGGAGAUUGAUACUGAUUCCAUCUACAAUGGGUUUAACGACAACUUGAGGUUAAUAUGGGACCAUUUCUUGUCAUGGGAGUCAUAACUUUUGACAAAAACAACAGAUUGCAUGCUCUCCCCGCUCGGUUCAUAUUUGCGUUUGUGUGCAUCCUGCAGUUGAAGAUGUAGAAUGAUGUAAAUGCAAGAAUAAGAGCAUGUUCGUAUCCAAUGGUAAAAUGUUUUUGCUAAAAUGUAUGGACUUGUAACAGCUUGUUGCGUGAGUUUCUCAAUCUCCUGAACCUCAAAUUUUGUCCUAUUUUCACCCCGGCUUUUUCCCCCCGUCCUCUGUAAUAGUUAUAUUUGGUAUAAGUUUGGCAGUUCCUGUGUAAAGUGUUUCAUAUUCAUGUGUGGAAUAAAUAUCAACAUCCAGAUACAAGAAAGUUUGAUUUUAUUUGUAAGACCUGUCUCUCAAAGUUAAUCUAGUGACAUGCUUGAAGCACUUGGGAUCCACUAGUUGGAUGUAUUUUUGUUAAGAUUUAUUUAGCAUUUUGUAUGUGUAUCAGUGCCUUUUUUUUUUGUUGUUAAACCGUUGGUUAGAGGGCAAAUAUUUCACAUUAAAGUGGGGUCUGCUUGCCACCAAGGGAGAUGCCUUUCCCAAAGCAAGAAACGAAAACUCAAAAGCCCACUUCAUAACUUGUGUAAGAAGGAGAUGUAAUUGACAUAUGCUGUCCUUUUUCUUGGUGCGUGUAUGUGUGUGUAUACACACUUAAUUCCGAAGAUCAACUGAGCCAACAGCCAAAACUUGAAAGCAAUUUUAAAAUUUUCGGUUAGUAUUGUACUUUAUAUCUUUUGAAUUUCUCUUUAAUUUAUUAUAUUUUCACUUUAGUUUUGUUUCUGGGUACUCUUUAUGGGCCACAAUUAUGGUACCACUGUGGUACCAUACCACAGCUGGAUCCAGCCAUUGGAUCCGGCCUACAGUGGUCCCCAUAGCUGGAUCCAAUGGCUGGAUCCAGCUGUGGUAUGGUACCACAGUGGUACCAUAGCCGGACCCCUCUUUAUGUGCUUUUCUUCGAUGAUUUUGGUGAGCUCAUAUUUUACUGUUUCCACUGGUUAGUUUAGUUAUUGUCUACUAAGAUAAAAUUAUUUGCUUCAAUAACAUAGAGUAUUGAGGUGUUGUAAUUUAAAAUUUUAGAAAAAAAUAUAUUUAUAAAAUAAAAGUUAAUAGUAUGUGGUAAAUAUAAUUUUAAAAUAAUAAUUUUAAUAAAAUUAGUAAAGAUAUAAUAGAUUUUCAUCAUAUAAAAGUAAAAUCAAAUCAACUUAAUUUCUAAACUACAUAAAUUAAUUUUUAUAAAACACUUUAGUGCUGUAACUACCCAACCUCAAUCUAAAGUAUAGCCUUAAUUGUUUGCUAUUUUAUUAUGUGAUUGUAUAUAGAGUUAAUUAAUUGUAUCAAAUGUCAUUAUAAAUGAUGCAUGAGCAAUUUCAUAUUGUUUUUCUUUCCUUCAUUGAUAAUUGGCUUGUCGGAUAUCUUUGAACUUUUUUUUUUCGCCUCAAAGUUCUUUUAGUCUGCAGAAUGUUGGUUUUAGUUUCGAUCUUGGUUACUGCAAUAUUUCAUUCAUUCUUUCUAAGCAUAGUGGGUUCAUUUCACAAAAUUCUGUAAUAAGUACUUAUUGUAGUUUAAGGUAGCGCGAAGUAAUAUUAUCGUAAUGUCUUACAUUCCACCACAUAAGCAGCAGUUUGUAAUCAAGACUGCAGAGAAUCUUGCAGAUAUAUUGACUAAGGUGGUGACGACAAUUAAGUUUGAGCAUUAUCUAAACUUGAUCAAUAUCUUACAAGUUUGAAAAUAGUCAGAGAAGACAGAGACUGGAGGAUGGUUUGUUGAUAGUCGGCUCAGAUUUACUAAAUUUUCGUUAAGGUAGAGAAUUGUUGAAAAAUCAAGCAUGCUUGCAUGAGCUAGCUAGCAUGCAAAUUUCAAGCCCACCAAUGUUCAGCUAGCGUGAUCCAAUUGCAUGUGCUAGCAUGAUCUCUUCGUCAAAAGUCACACCAAAGCCAUUAAAAUUGAAAAUGGCCAAAGUUUUUUUUUCAUGCAUUUAUAUUGUAAGAUUUGCCUAUAAAUAGAGGAGUAGAAUGCAUUUGUAAAGCAUCCCAAUUUGUGAGAAGUAGAGAGCAAUUGCAAGUGAGCUCUUUGAGAGAAUUUGAGAGAGCUUCCACUUGAGUGUUCUAGUUGUUGUGCAAAUUUUAAUGUACUCGCAAGCGCACGAAUCUAUUGUAGUAUAGAUCAAUGGUGACGAGUGUCGAUCCCACGAGGAGGUGGAUUUUAAUUGUGUAUAGAAUUAAUUUUGUAAAUGGGUGGUUGGAUCUGUGGUGGAAAUGAAUUGGAAUAUGCUAAAACUUAAAUUAAAAUGGCGAGAAUAAAUUCUAAAAUUGGAAUUGCAAUGGCGAGAAUAAAUUGAAGAGAAAUGUAUUGAAAUGACGUACUUGGGUAUCUGGAUCCGUAUCAACAUGCAUCAUGGGCUAAAUAAUCCGUAUUAAUGCCAAUUAAAUCAUGAGGGGGGAAUCCACACCUCAUGAACCACGCUCUAAUCAAUAUGGUGCUAAGGGCUUAUCGUGCCAAAUAAUAAUAACCUUAUACUAGAGAGCCGGUGUAACCAAGGCGGUAUCUAGACAAGAUCAGUAUUAUUUGUCGACGAUAAGUCAAAUCAUCCACAAAAACUAGAGGGGAAAAGAAAAUAAAUUUACCAAAUAAAGCCCAUGACACAUGUUGAGACUUCACCUUCAACCCAAGCUUGAAAGGAAAUUAGCUACUCAUAAUUGAACUAGGGGCAAAAUGAAAAUUUAUUAAAAUACGAAGAAAAUACAAGAUGGAGAAGGAAUUACAGAAAAUGGAUCCCAAAAAUGGAUUCAGAGAUAUCAAAUUAGGGGGGGGAGGCCCCUUUUUUAUAGAUACAUGGAGUAAAUCAUGGCCAUCGGAUUAAAAACAGUUUGGACGCUCAGGAUUGCGCCACGUCAUCAGUCAACAGUCCACGGUUUGACCACGCGGAUGAACAGUAACACGGUUUGACCACGCGGAUGAACAGUAACGCGGUUUGGUUGAAAAUAAUCCUGUGUGAUGCAUGCACCGUACGCGAGAUUUUUCGUCCACUGAUAUGCUGCCACGUCACCAUCAACAGUACAUAAGAAUUUUAGUCCAACAGGAUCGUGACACCUCAUCAGUCAAUGCCACAUCAUCGGUCAAUGCCACGUCAUCGAUCCGUCUAUGUGAACAGUGUCGUGAACAGUAACGUAGACAGUACCGUAUACGUGAAUAGUACCGUACAUGUGAAUAGUGCCAUUUUUCUUUUUAUGCCCCUCCUAAGGUUUUCGACCGUCCUGAGUUCAAAAGUGAUGUCCGUUUUGCCAUCUGAUCUCUCCUUUAUUGUGAAAUAACUAUAAUGCCCCUAAAAUACAUAAAAUACUUAAUUAAAAUAAAACACAUGUAAUUAAAUCACAAGAAGGUUAAAUACAUAAAAGUAAGGGUUUUUAAUAAGACUUGAAAUGUAAAAUGACGGUUUUCUCCUUUAUAAAUAUGCAUUUUCUAACACUCAACACACCCCCCAACCAGCUUAUUGCUAGUCCCUAGCAAAUAAAGCGAAAACAAAAUUCAAAUUCAAAAUGAUUUUUUUUUUUUUUUUGAACUACUCGUGUUUAUUCAAUCAGAUUAAUGAUAGCAAUCAAAUAAAAGUAUAAGCAUUAUCUCCAGUCUAAAGCAACAUCACACCCACAUCAACCAUCCACAUGAAUUAGCCCAGUAGACUUUGUUAUAGCUACUUUCAAGAAUGACAUGUCAAACCCCAAAAUCUCACUUGAAGUAGUGACACUCUCACAAAGAAAUUAAAACCCAAUAAACAUAGUCACUCCAAUGAAUGGUAAUUGAGAGAGAAAAUAAUAAAGAAAUGAUAUCACAUGCUCUCACCAAGAUGAAAUAAAUAUGCCCUCAGCUUAGAAAUAAUGCGAUCUCAAGUCAAAUAAAAUGUUAGUCAACCCACUUUAUUUAUCUUUUUUUUUUAUUAUUAUUAUGCAUCACUACAUCUUUUUAGCCCAUAUAACUAGCUUCUACUUCAAACUAUAGUUCCCUAAAAUCAAGAAGGACUUUUAUUAGGACGUAACGUAGGCUAGGGAUAUGGCUAACAAAGAAAGGAAAUAAGGAAAACAAAGUGUAUGUUUGAAAAAAAUGCAGAAUUUUUUUUUUUUUUUUUUUUUUGGAACUUGCAAGGUGGAUUUCACCUAUUAUUGUUAUUUUUAUUCUUUUGAAACAACAACUUUUGUUUUUGUUUUUGUUUUUUUUGUUUUUUUUUUUUGCUUUUAUUUGGCAUAACUUCACUGAACAACAUAAUUAUUUACAUUUUCUCAAACAUAAAUAGGUGAUGGAACUUAAAAGACAUUGGGUAAUACUCCAAAUCGGAGUGGGUCAAGAUGAUAAGUUGACAAAGAAAAGGUUUUUGUUCUUUUUUUUUUUUUUUUUUUUUUUUUUUUUUUUAAGGCUCAAAAGGGGUAACUAUGGAUAUUUAAUAAAAGGGAUGGCUAGAAAGGCUCAAACGGAUCAAAGAUGGCCUUUCUAUCGUCUUUUAGGGCUCUAAAUAAUUAUCCAUAUCUACUAGUUAGAUGGGCCUCCCAAUGUAGCAACACACAUUUUUUUCUUUUUUCUUUUUUUUUUUAAUUUUACCAUAUUUUUUUUUUUUUAAAAGGGUUAACUUAAAAGAAAUCUAGAGAUCGUGUAUAAAAUAAUAAACUGCUAAGCUGUAUAGAGAAUGGGUAAAAGGGUUACUCUCCAAGAAAAUGAUAGGCUCAACUACUCACUUGGCACUUAUUUAUGACAUGUUCAUUCCUUCAAGCAACUCAUAUUUGUCUCCGACAUCAACAUGUAAAGUAGCAAACAUAGCGUAACAUCACUUAAGACCAAAGAUAAUACAAAUACUAAAAUUUGAAAUUAGUCAUGUCAUCCAAUGUUAAAACAAAUAACACAAUUUUUUUUAAACAACAUUCUACCCCCCAACCUAUUCUAAACAUGAAAGGAAAAUAUGCAUGCAGAAAUGUGAAAAUGAUGUAGAAAAAUUAAUUAGAAAAAGAAUUUUUUUUUUUUUUUUUAAACUAAGAAGAUGCGUUUCUAGAGGCACUACACUCCAUAUUCAGCCAUCUUCGACUCAAAAAUUUGAAACUACAUAUUUAUAAAGGAGAAAGAGGAAGAAAACAGGUUUUUUUUUUUUUUUUUUUUAAAACGAUGAAGAUGCGUUUCUAGAGUAACUACACUCCAUAUUCAGCCAUCUUCAACAUAAAAUGUUAGCAACAGUUAGUUUCUACAACAAAAAAUCAGUAAAAACUUAACCAAGAUUCCACAAUUGUCGACUAUUCCCUUCCCCCAACUAGAACGAAACAUUGUCCUCAAUGUUUUAAAGGAAAGAAGUAGAGUUUAGAAGACAUCACCUGGGUGGUGCAACACAGAAGAAAAUAUUUACAAGCGGAGAGUUAAAUCUAAUUUGUACUUCUUACUGCGGCUACUGUUACCAUCAUUAUUUGGUCGCUCCAACACAAAGGUCCAGGGGUCUGGCUCCGGUUUAUAAGCUUGUAACAUAUCAAGUAGCUCAUUAGCAGUGUGAGCACAAAUAAAGAGUUUUUUCACAUUAGAAGGAAUGAAAUAGUUUUUUAUUGCAUGGUUAAGAAAUGCGAUAAAGUCAUCAUAAAAGUUAUUGACAUUUAACAAACCGAUAGGUUUCUGGUGGAUGUGCAGAUGGGCCCAAGAUGCUAGUGUCAUAAGUGCCUCUAGUGUUGCAAGAUCUCCUGGAAGGAAAAUAAAAGCAUCAGCAUGAUUAAGCAUUUCAGUUAUUCUUUCUUGCAUACCUGAGACGACUAACUCUUCUCCAGUUGAUGAGUCAGACGAACUGCCCAAUGGUUUUAGGACUCUUGGGAUGAUGCCUAACACUUGACUUCCUCUGAUAAAAGCUGCUUCUGAGACCAUUUUUGAUAACCCUCGGUUACCUCCUCCAUACACCAAAUGUAAUUUUCUCGCUGCUAUGCUUCGACCAAGAUCUAUGGCUGCCUCAACGAACUCUUUAUGUUUGCCAUAGGUAAAUCCAGAAAGCACACAAAUGUUCUUGAAUUGUCUAUUGGGAGUAGCGGCCAUUGUGAUACUUCUCAAAAAUAAUUUGUGAGUGCUUGACAAAAAAUAGAUCACAUUUAAGAAUCUUGGUGACAGUGGAUCACAGCUGUGAAUGAGGUAACAUGUCAGUGUGAAAUAACGCGUGAAGCACAUGGCUUGCGAGUCAAAAAGGAAACAGUAAAAAGGAAAAAGCAAACAGUAAUAAAAUUAUUAAAGACAAUAAUGCAAACAAUAAAACAACAGUGAAAUGAAAUAAAAUAACAGUAAAGUAAAAUGAUAUUUACACGUAGUUGCGACUGUGGCUCACAUCUUCCUCUGGUUUUACGUCCAGAAACGGCUUGAACGCCCUCUAUGGGUCGAGGAUGGGCUUCCCAUCCAGUUUUCUUAUAAACUGGCAAACAGGGUCGUUUAUAGUCAGAUUCCCGAGACUAUAUCGUGCAUGCUCUUUCUGGAAUAAUGGCCAUAACCGGAGAAUCGCUCCUUGCACAUAUCCACUGGGAUGCGUUUCAAGAGACAAAAGGAUAUCAUCCAAUGACUCCUUAUUCAAGCCAUCCCUAAUGAAUUGAAUCUUAUCUUCCCUGUUAUCAGACACCAUUCCUAAAGAACAUGGGUUUCUAUCGCAACUCAUUCUGGCACACUUAUGACAAGCAACAGAAAUUCUUCGAGCUCGUCGUUUUCUUGCAUAAUUGCCUUUACCACAACCAGGCAUGUAUGCAAUAAAUUUAUGAGGUAACUCACCUGCCAAUCGUACUUUAGCCUCGAUUAACCAACGGAUGUCUGCAGGUAUGUUAUUCCUCAUGAGCAAUCGCAUGCGUUCAGACCGGGCUUUAUAGAUUGUAAGGAGGGCAUUCUGAGGAAGUGAAGGGAAUCGCUUGUGAAGCUUUGCUAAAAUCUCGUUUCUAUCCAUACCUUCGCCUCAGAAUAUCAGUUAUUAUGGGAAACUGAAGUUAACCGACUUGAUUGUCACGGAGUACCGUUAUCCGCCACUUCACCGGGGUAACAAACUAAAGCACACAAACAGAAAAACAAAUUAAAACACACAAAGAAAAUUAAAAUCGUCCUCUUAUUGAAUUUACCUCAAGCUCCAACUGGAUGUCGUAAACACUUCUCUCAAUGUCUCUGAGUUGGCGUUCUAAACCCUCAACAUAGGCUACUAACUCUGGUGGUUGUAGAGCCCAAAUGCGUUGUGUUUUACAAAAUAGAAUCUGCCUUUUGAGAUGAGUUUUGACACGUUGAAGUGGUUUAAGAAUGUUCAGGAGGAACGGUCUAAGUAUGAGACUCAUGAUUAAAAAUGAUAAGAGAAAACUUAAUUGUUAAACAAACACACUUAUGCAAAAAUAAUUUCAAUUAGCAAAAGAAUAAUAAAAAGAAAGAAAGAAAAAUCAAAUCAAUAAAAAGAGAAAAAAAAAAUUAAUUCAAAUCUGGUGGGUCACUCAAAUUUAUUUCGGUGUCUUCUUCAUGUGGUUGGUACUCUAGAUAUGGCUUUAAUCUUUGACCAUUAACUUUAAACGUGACACCGUUCUUUGGGUCUUUAAUUUCAAUUGCCCCAUGUGGAAAAACAGUAUGAACAAUAAAGGGACCAGACCAUCGAGAGCGUAACUUACCUGGGAAUAGGUGCAAGCGAGAAUUGAAUAAAAGCACUUUCUGACCUGGAGUGAACGAUUUUCUCAUAAUUUGCUUAUCAUGGAAGACUUUCAUUCGUUGCUUGUAAAUCUUGGCAUUUUCGUAUGCAUCAUUGCGAAUUUCUUCAAGUUCUGCCAGCUGUAAUCUUCUUUCUGAGCUGGCUUGCUGCAUGUCAAAGUUGAAUUUCUUGAUGGCCCAAUAUGCACGAUGCUCGAGUUCCACAGGUAGGUGGCAAGCUUUUCCAUACACUAGCCUGUAGGGUGACAUCCCAAUCGGGGUCUUGAAAGCCGUUCUAUAUGCCCAUAAUGCAUCAUCAAGUCGUAAUGACCAAUCUUUUCUGUCUGGCCUCACCGUUUUUUCUAAUAUGUGCUUGAUUUCUCGAUUGGAGAUCUCAACUUGGCCACUGGUUUGCGGAUGAUACGGGGUCGCCACUUUGUGUGUGAUUGAAUACUUUGUCAAAAGAGCUUUGAAUGUUUUGUUACAAAAGUGGGCACCACCAUCACUGAUUAUCGCUCGAGGGAAUCCAAAGCGUGAAACAAUGUUGCUUUUCAAAAAUCCUAUCACCACUUUGUGAUCAUUGGUUCUGCAUGGAAUUGCUUCCACCCAUUUCGAUACGUAGUCAACACCAACCAAUAUGUAUUGAUGGCCAAAAGAAGGGGGAAAGGGUCCCAUGAAGUCGAUACCCCAUACGUCAAAAAUCUCAACCACUAAAAUUGGAUUUAGUGGCAUCAUGUUCCUUCGUGUAAUGCUCCCCAUUCGUUGACACCUAUCACAUGAAGAACAGAAAGUGUAAGCGUCUCGAAAUAUAGUUGGCCAAUAGAAACCACAUUGUAAAACUUUUGUAGCUGUUUUCUUAGCACUAAAAUGGCCUCCACACGCUUGUUCAUGGCAGAAUGAAAGGAUAUUUUGAAUUUCACUUUCUGGGACACAUCGCCUAACAAUUUGAUCUGCACAAUACUUGAACAAAUACGGGUCAUCCCAAAAGAAAUUCUUUAUUUCCGCAAAGAAUUUAGCCUUGUCUUGCUUGGUCCAAUGCUCUGGAAGUUUACCUGUAACAAGAUAAUUAACUAUAUCAGCAUACCAAGGUAAUACUUCCACAUUCAUUAAUUGUUCAUCUGGAAAUGACUCAUUCAAUAUUAAUGGAUCUGUAAUUGUGUCAAAAUGGAGACGAGAGAGGUGGUCCGCCACAACAUUUUCUGUGCCUUUCUUAUCCUUGAAUUCCAAGUCGAAUUCCUGCAAAAGUAACACCCAACGAAUUAGUCUAGCUUUUGCAUCUUUCUUUGUGAGAAGAUAUUUAAGAGCAGCAUGAUCUGUGAAUAUAAUUAUUUUACAACCAAUGAGAUAAGAUCGAAAUUUCUCUAAUGCAAACACUACUGCUAGCAUUUCUUUUUCAGUAGUUGAAUAAUUCAACUGUGCAUCAUUCAAUGUCAUACUAGCAUAGUAAAUAACGUGGGGAAUUCGAUCAACUCUUUGUCCUAAUACUGCUCCUACUGUAUAAUCAGAUGCAUCACACAUGAGCUCAAAUGGUAAGUUCCAGUUUGGGGCCUGAAUGAUGGGUGAUGAUGUCAACAACUGCUUUAAUUUUUCAAACGCCAUGAGACAUGAAUCAUUAAAGAUAAAAGGUACAUCCUUAGCAAGUAAAUUGCAUAAGGGUCUAGAAACUUUGCUAAAAUCUUUAAUGAAACGUCUAUAAAAACCAGCAUGUCCAAGGAAAGAUCUUACUUCUCUGACUGUUUUAGGUGGAGGAAGAUUAGAAAUGAGAUCCACCUUGGCUUUGUCAACCUCAAUACCUUUGCUCGAAAUGAUGUGACCGAGAACAAUACCUUGUUUUACCAUAAAAUGGCACUUCUCCCAAUUCAAGACUAAGUUCUUCUCGGUACAUCUCUGCAGAACUAGCGUUAGAUGAUGUAAACAUUGAUCAAACGAGUCACCAAAGAUAGAAAAAUCAUCCAUAAAGACUUCAAGGAAUCGUUCAACCAUAUCAGAAAAAAUGCUCAACAUGCAUCGUUGGAAUGUAGCAGGUGCAUUACAUAAUCCAAAUGGCAUUCUCCUAUAUGCAAAAGUGCCAAAAGGGCAAGUGAAAGUAGUUUUCUCCUGAUCUUUUGGUGCUAUGGGAAUCUGAUUAUAUCCUGAGUAGCCAUCUAGAAAGCAAUAAAAUUCAUGGCCUGCUAAUCUAUCAAGCAUUUGAUCAAUAAAUGGUAAAGGAAAAUGGUCUUUACGUGUGACAGAAUUCAACUUUCUAUAAUCAAUGCAUACACGCCAUCCUGUAGUUACUCUAGUUGGUAUCAAUUCAUUAUCAGCAUUGGUAACUACUGUGACUCCUGACUUUUUGGGGACGACUUGUACAGGACUGACCCAUGAACUAUCAGAAAUUGGGUAAAUGAUACCUGCAUCUAAUAGCUUAAGGACUUCAGUUCUAACAACUUCUUUCAUGUUAGGAUUUAACCGACGUUGCAUCUCCCUAGUAGUUUUAGCAUUUUCAUCAAGGUGAAUGUAAUGCAUGCAGUCUACUGGAUUUAUACCUUUUAUGUCUGCUAUGGUCCAUCCUAAUGCCCCUUUGUGCUCUUUUAACACAUCCAACAACUUACCUUUUUGUUCGUCAUUUAGGGAUGAUGAGAUGAUUACCGGUAGAGUGCUUUCUUCUCCCAAAAACGCAUAUUCCAAUGUGUUGGGCAAUUGUUUGAGCUCGAGUUUUGGUGGUGAUUCUGAUGAUGGGAUGAGUUUCUUUUCUGACGGUGCUAGUUGUUCUACUCUUGACUUCCAUUUAUUAGUGUCCAUGGAUGGUGCUGAGUCAAGUAGGGCGUUGACCUCUUCGACCGAUCUAUCAAUAUCAAAAUCCAAACCAAAGUGAGUUAAGCAUGUUUGUAAAGGAUCAUCACUAAGGUUUGAAAGAAAAGUAUUAUCAACUAUUGUUUCUAUUAAAUCCACAUCAACAAUUCCAUCAUCUGCACUGUGAGGUUGUUUGGCAAUGUUAAAGAUGUUUAGCUCCAUAGUCAUGUUGCCGAAGGACAAUUGCAUAUUUCCGGUCCUACAUUGAAUAUGAGCAUCUGCAGUUGCCAAGAAAGGUCGGCCUAGAAUAAUGGGGAUGUGCUUCCUUGAGUCCUGUAUUGGUUGAGUGUCAAUUACAAUGAAAUCAACAGGAAAAUAAAACUUGUCUACCUGGAUAAGCACGUCCUCCACAAUACCACGAGGUAUUUUUGUGGACCGAUCUGCAAGUUGUAACACCACUGGAGUUGGGUGUAAUUCUCCCAGUCCAAGUUUCACGAAUACAGAGUAAGGUAACAAAUUUACACUAGCUCCUAAAUCCAACAAAGCAUUCUCAAUUGUGUGGUUCCCUAUACUACAUGAGAUAGUGGGGGAGCCUGGGUCUUUGCAUUUUAAAGGAAUUUUAUGUUGGAGUAUAGAACUAACGUUUUCUGUUAAAAAUGCCUUCUUUUGAACAUGCAUAUUUCUCUUUUUAGUACAAAGGUCUUUAAGAAACUUGGCAUAAGAUGGAAUUUGUUUUAUAGCAUCAAGCAAAGGGAUAUUGACACUUACCUGUUUGAAGAUUUCGAGAAUCUCACCUGUGGAUUUUCCCUUCUUGCCUUUAGCUAACCUCUGAGGAAAUGGAGCUUUCGGAAUAUAUUCUCGUGGGUUGGUUUCUUCUCUCUCCUCCGGUGGUGAGUCCUCAGCAUUUACAGGUACAAUUUGAUUUUCUUUUGUCACCUGCAUCUCCACUUUAUUGUCGACUUCUUUUCUUUUUCUCAAGGUCAUUACUGCUUUGACCUCUCCAUGCUGCUGUGGUGAACUGGUACUUGCUUCAUGCACUCCUUUAGGAUUAGGCACUGGUUGACUCGGAAACUUGCCUUUCUCAACAGUCAUUGCCAAGGUCUGAACUGAAGAAGCAAGCUGUCCCACCAUCUUCUCGAGGCUUGAAACUGAUUGGGCUUGUGAAUUGAAGCCCGCUCUCAACUCAUUUCGUAGUCCAUCAAUGGUGCGAUUCUGUUGCUCAAUCGUGGAGUGAGUAACAUUCUUGAAAUUCUGGAAUGCAUCCUCCCAUGGUCUGGGUUGAGAGUAGUUCUGGUUUUGAUUGUAUGGUCUAAAUGGUGGCUGAGAGGCUUGAGGAUUUUGAGGAAUUGGUUGCAUUGGUGGAGCUGGAGCUGCUGGUCCAUUCUGUUGAAAUCCUUGAGACCAUGAAAAAUUGGGGUGGUCUCUCCAUCCAGGAUUAUAUGUGUUGGAGUAUGGGUUGUAAUUAGAUGGCUUUCUCAUUACACCUAUGGCAUUGGCUUGAUCGGAGUAUGAGUCAUGGUCAUGUGGUUCUGUUGAUUUAGCAGUCGAUAACGAUGCUAUUUGUCGAGCAAGACCUUCAACCAUCUCCUUGACUUCUUUGAUUCCCGAAGUUGACUCGCCAAUGUGAACCUCAUUCACUCCUUUAAUCCUUCUAGUAUUCCUGAGUGAUCGACUCCGUUGUUGGGAAUUAUCCGCUUGUCGCUGGAAGAAUUCCCAAAUCUCUGUUGCGCUUUUUGACAUUAGCUCUCCUCCACUUGUUGCCAUUAGCCAUUCUUGCACAUUCGGCAAUAAUCCCUCCAAAAAGUAUUGGCAUUGGUGCCAUUUUUCGUACCCAUGAUGUGGACACUUCAAGAGUAGUCCAUUGAAUCGCUCCCAAGUUUCGAAAAACUGCUCGUCCUCUCUUUGUGUAAACUCUGAAAUUUCCCUGCGAAUAGAAUUGGUUUUAUGCACUGGGAAAUAUUUAUUUAGAAAUUUUGUUACCAUUUGUUCCCAUGAUGAAAUGCUAUUGGCAGGCAAUGUAUUAAGCCAUGAACGAGCUCUAUCCUUUAAAGAAAAUGGGAAUAGUCUAAGUUUUACAUCAUCAUCUGAAAAAUUUUCAUAUUUAAAAGUUUGACAAAUAGCAUGAAAAUCAUUCAAAUGAUUAUAUGGGUCCUCAUUUUCUAGGCCAUAAAAUGUGGGGAGACAAUUUAGCACACUAGGUUUUAAUUCAAAACUCCUAGCAGCUACAUUUGGGUAUCUUAUGCAUGAUGUGCUCAAAUUAGCUAAGGGACUAAAAUAGUCCUUAAAUGGCCUCUCCUGUGGUGCUUGUAAAUCCAUUUUAUUUUUAACGUGUUUGUGUGUGCGAAGUGUUUUUUCUAAUUCAAGGUCUAUAGGUUCAAUAUUAGGUAAUAAUGACCUACGACCAUGCAUGCAAAAUAAAUAAAAUAAAAAUAAAGAUGCAAACAAAACAAAAAAUAAAGAUGGGAACAAAACAAAUAAAAAAUAAAGAUGAGAACAAAACAAAUAAAAAUAAAGAAGAGGGAGAAAUUACGAUACUAACCUCAUUGCGCUAUUACAACCUUACUAUAAAAAUACACAAAAAUAAAUACGUGAAAUAAAUUAACUAAAAAUUAAAUUAAUAAGAUAAACAAAAAUUACAAAGAAAAAAUAAAUUGAAAAUUAAAUUACAGAAUUUUAAAGAAGAGAAAAAGAAAAGAAAUACUAACCUUUAAAUGUAGAUUUACUCUUUUUUUUUAAAGAACAAAAAAAAAAAAAAAAUACAAGAAAACAAUUUAAAAUAAAUUAUUCACAAAAAUUAAUUCUAUGAAUUAAAACUACUUACCUCCCCGGCAACGGCGCCAAAAACUUGUUGUGCAAAUUUUAAUGUACUCGCAAGCGCACGAAUCUAUUGUAGUAUAGAUCAAUGGUGACGAGUGUCGAUCCCACGAGGAGGUGGAUUUUAAUUGUGUAUAGAAUUAAUUUUGUAAAUGGGUGGUUGGAUCUGUGGUGGAAAUGAAUUGGAAUAUGCUAAAACUUAAAUUAAAAUGGCGAGAAUAAAUUCUAAAAUUGGAAUUGCAAUGGCGAGAAUAAAUUGAAGAGAAAUGUAUUGAAAUGACGUACUUGGGUAUCUGGAUCCGUAUCAACAUGCAUCAUGGGCUAAAUAAUCCGUAUUAAUGCCAAUUAAAUCAUGAGGGGGGAAUCCACACCUCAUGAACCACGCUCUAAUCAAUAUGGUGCUAAGGGCUUAUCGUGCCAAAUAAUAAUAACCUUAUACUAGAGAGCCGGUGUAACCAAGGCGGUAUCUAGACAAGAUCAGUAUUAUUUGUCGACGAUAAGUCAAAUCAUCCACAAAAACUAGAGGGGAAAAGAAAAUAAAUUUACCAAAUAAAGCCCAUGACACAUGUUGAGACUUCACCUUCAACCCAAGCUUGAAAGGAAAUUAGCUACUCAUAAUUGAACUAGGGGCAAAAUGAAAAUUUAUUAAAAUACGAAGAAAAUACAAGAUGGAGAAGGAAUUACAGAAAAUGGAUCCCAAAAAUGGAUUCAGAGAUAUCAAAUUAGGGGGGGGAGGCCCCUUUUUUAUAGAUACAUGGAGUAAAUCAUGGCCAUCGGAUUAAAAACAGUUUGGACGCUCAGGAUUGCGCCACGUCAUCAGUCAACAGUCCACGGUUUGACCACGCGGAUGAACAGUAACACGGUUUGACCACGCGGAUGAACAGUAACGCGGUUUGGUUGAAAAUAAUCCUGUGUGAUGCAUGCACCGUACGCGAGAUUUUUCGUCCACUGAUAUGCUGCCACGUCACCAUCAACAGUACAUAAGAAUUUUAGUCCAACAGGAUCGUGACACCUCAUCAGUCAAUGCCACAUCAUCGGUCAAUGCCACGUCAUCGAUCCGUCUAUGUGAACAGUGUCGUGAACAGUAACGUAGACAGUACCGUAUACGUGAAUAGUACCGUACAUGUGAAUAGUGCCAUUUUUCUUUUUAUGCCCCUCCUAAGGUUUUCGACCGUCCUGAGUUCAAAAGUGAUGUCCGUUUUGCCAUCUGAUCUCUCCUUUAUUGUGAAAUAACUAUAAUGCCCCUAAAAUACAUAAAAUACUUAAUUAAAAUAAAACACAUGUAAUUAAAUCACAAGAAGGUUAAAUACAUAAAAGUAAGGGUUGUUAAUAAGACUUGAAAUGUAAAAUGACGGUUUUCUCCUUUAUAAAUAUGCAUUUUCUAACACUCAACACUAGUGAGGUUCCAUUUAGGUGUAUUGGGGUUGUGGGUUUUGUGAGUUUUUUCCACUUUUGUAAAUUCUCAUUAUUAGUAAAAUUAUCUUCCAAUCUUUGCCCGUGGACGUAGGCAUUAUGCCGAACCACGUAAAUUAUUGUGUUUAUAUUUUCUUUGUAUUUGUUUGGCACAUUUAUAUUUCUCCAAAAGUUACAUUCAUCGUAAUAUUGGUAAUUGCUCAACCUCGCACUUCCGCAACAAUUGGUAUCAGAGCAGAAGGUUCGUGCUUGGGGCAUACAACAUUGUUCACGUAUACGGAACUGUUCACAAAUACGGUAUUGUUCACGUAUACGGUAUUGUUCAUUGAUAUGGUGGAGAUGGUCAUUUAUACUUGGGAGACAGUCUAUUGAAAGUAGUGUGUAUUUUUUCAUGUCUAGGAAAGUCCUGUCAACAAGGCGAUAAAAGCUUAAGGAGUCUGGUUUUAAGUGGGACCGUUGUGACCCCUCCAUUCUCCUAGGAACUUUCCUGGUGCAUUUAUUCAUGCGAAAUAAAUAUCAUAGAGGCUAUUUUUCAAGUGUAAAUAGUUGUUGAAGAAACUGAUCAUUUGAGAUAAAAAUGAUGGCAGAGGCAUCGUCGUCGUCGUCGUCUUCAUCAGCAAGGACUACUGUGACUAAUGCAAAGUUUGAAGUGGAGAAAUUCAAUGAUACCAAUAAUUUUGGUAUGUGGCAAUGUGAGGUGUUGGAUGUCUUAUGUCAGUAAGAGUUGGACGUUACUCUUAAAGAAAAGCCUGACAUAAUGGAUGACAAGGAGUGGAUAAAGAUCAAUAAACAGGUAUGUGGUACUAUUCGCCUAUGUUUGGCUAAAGAUCAUAAAUACUUUGUUAUAAAGGAGACAUCGGCAAAGAAAUUGUAGGAGACAUUGGAAGAAAAAUAUAUGAAGAAAAGUAUAUAAAGAAAAGCCUUAAAAAUAAGCUUUAUAUGAAGAAGAAACUUUAUCUAUUCACAUAUACACCUGGCAUGUCGAUGAAUGACCAUGUAAAUUCAUUCAACAAAAUAUUGGCAGAUUCACUAAAUUUGGAUGAGAAAUUUGAAGAUGAAGAUAAGACACUGUUGUUUUUUAAUUCCCUUCCUGAUGAAUAUGAUCAUCUCACUACCAAUUUGCUUCAUGGGAAGGGCAGUGUCACAUUCGAUGUUGUAUGCAGUGCAUUGUAUAACUCUAAGAUCAGAAAGAAAGAUAGAAAAGAUCACAGAGAUACAGUUGUAGAAGCAUUAACAACUAAAAGUCGUUCACAAGGCUGUAAACUUGGAAAAAGAAGCAAGUCUAAAGGGAGACCUGCCAAAGAUGAGUGUGUUUUUUGUCGCGAGAAAGGACAUUGGAAAAAGAAUUAUCCUAAGUUACAAAAGGAUAAGGCUUCUUCUUAUGCAUGUGUAGCAGAGUAUGAUGAGGAGUCAGACUUUAGUCUGGUUGGCAUGACGUUGACAUGUUACUUAGAUGAGUGGUUUUUGUAUUCGAGUUGUGCUUAUCAUAUGUGUCCUAACAAGGGUUGGUUUUCUAACUUCAAGGAGCUGGACGGUGGAAUUGUUUUUAUGGGCAAUGACAAUGCCUGUAAAACCUUGGAAAUAGGUACAAUUCAAUUAAAAAAUCGUGACGGUUCAAUCAAAGUCUUGACGGAUGUUCACUACAUACCAAGUUUAAAGAAAAAUCUCAUCUCAUUAGGAGUCCUAGAAUCUAAAGGGCUCACAAUCACUCUGAGAGAUAGAUUAUUAAAGGUAGUAGCUGGCACACUAACGGUGAUGAAAGACACAAGAAGAAAUAACUUGUACUAUUUUCAAUGGAAUACAAUUAUUAGAUCAGCAUCAACAGUUUUUGGAAGAGAUGCAGAUUCAGAAGCAACCAAGUUGUGGCAUAUGCGUUUGGGACAUGCUGGUGAAAAAUCUUUACAGACUCUAGUGAAGCAAGGCUUAUUGAAAGGUGCAAAUUCUUACAAAUUAGAAUUUUGUGAACAUUGUGUUUUAGGCAAGCAGACAAUGGUAAUGUUUAGUUCAAUAAUUCACGAUACAAACUUCCUCGGGGGAGCAUUAAAACCUUCGAGCAGAUGUGCCAGGAAUUUGCAGAGCAGUUUCGUGGGGCAAUGGCACCAGAAGAUGCCAUGAUGGAAUUGAAAAACAUGAAGCAGGGGGAAUAAUAAACACUUCGGGAAUUCAUCAAGAGGUUUUACCAUGUUGUCCUUGAUUUGGGAGCCUUCAACCAUCCUCAGGCAUUAAGGGGACUGAAAGAAUGGGUGAAGAUAGGAAGACUGUGGUACAACUUGAGAAGCCCAGUUAUUCAGACGUACGCCGCCGCAUACAAGCAGGCUAAGAGGGACAUUGAGAUUGAAGUGGAAAAGGCAGCACGGAUCAAGACAGACCAGUUAGAUGGGUUGGGGAAGAAAGAGAAGAAAGCAUUGCCAGGGAACGGGCCGAUCAGGAGGAGAGACCUUCAGGCCUCAAGUAGUGGAGCAGGAGAUCGGGUAACUACUGGCCAUCCUCAUCAGAGGCCACCACAGUAUCGGCGCAGCAGGGCGCAACCUCCUCGUUCCCCAGCUAGGGAGCCUUGGAGAAGCCAUGACUCGGCAUAUGGUGGUCUUCAUCAACACUCCCACGGUAGUAGGGGGCAGACCAGAAGUGCUGCCACCGCCUCCAACUCAGAACGGAGCAAAUAGAGAAAAAGCAGUGCACCUGAUCGACCAGAACCAGGACUAUGGGCAGUACACUUCCUUAAAGAUGUUCCUGGACGAGGUGUACGAGGCCAUAAAGGAUCGAGGGUUGCUAUACCUCCCUGCCUCAAUAACAAAACUACCCAGCAGGAGGGAUAAGGGACGCUAUUGUAAGUUCUAUGGCGCGCAUGGCCGUACUACAACAGAAUGUAGAGAUCUAAAGACCCAGGUCGAAGAUUUGGUGAGAAAUCGAUACCUGGACGAGUUUAUAGAGGGGACUUUCCCGAUGGUGGCCUCGACAUGCGAGGGGGAGCAGAGUGGCAGAAAUUUGAGGCACGAGUAGCCUACAGUAAGGGUGAUUGCUGGGGGCCCGACAUUGGCUGGAGAUUCCAACAGAUCUAGGAAGAACUAUGCUAGAUACGCCAUGACUAGUAAAGAGGUAUUCUUCAACACCCCGGCAGCCAAACGAGCAAGAGUCAGGCAAGUGCCAAUCAUGUGGACAGACGAGGAUGAAAAAGGGAUUUUAUACCCACACGAGGAUGCCUUAGUCAUCAAGGCCACUGUUGCUAGCAGGAAGUUUGACCGGAUACUAGUCGAUAUAGGAAGCUCGGUUGAUGUGUUGUUCAAGUCCACUCUAGAGGAGAUGAGAAUAGCAGACCUGAGGUUGGAGCACACCAACACCUCCUUGAAGGGAUUUGGAGGAGGAAAGCUGGUCCCCCUGGGUGUGGUCGAGCUGCCUAUCACAAUCGGAAGCUCCCCGACAGAAAGGACUAUGAUACUAGAUUUUGUGGUGGUUGAUGAAGAGGGUCCUUACCAGAUAAUCCUAGGUCGGCUGUUUCUGAGGAUGAGUAAAGCAGUACUGUCCAACCAUUAUCUUGCUCUCAAGUACCGGGUGAAUGGGGUAGUUGGAGUGGUACGAGGAGACCAGAGAAUCGCACGAAGCUGUUACUCCUCGGCAGCAAAGGAAUCGAUACAGAUAACAUCCCUUGAUACCCGAGUGAAAGCCAGGAAUGGCAACUUAUUGGACUCGGAGUUUACAAGCUGGUUCGCAAGGACGGCCACGAGGUGAAAUGCCCAUGGAACGCAGCACACCUCCGAAAAUACUUCCAGUAAGACUUGUUCACAUUUGAAAGCUAUUUCUGCUCGUGUUCAUUAUCGUUUAUCUUUUAUGUUUUAUAUCCAAACAAUUUCAUGUAAGUCGAAUCCUGCCAUUAAUGGAACGUCGAGGAAUUUCAUUCGCUUGAAACUGUGAAAAUUUCCUAAGGCAUGCAAAGGCUCGUCAAGUCUCAAAGCCUGUUUAUGGCGAGACCAGAAGCCAAGCGUGCCAGGAUCUGCUCGGCCACGAGAAGGCGAGCAGAAUCCCAAGCUUUGAAGAAAUUACCUAAGGCAUGCAAAGGCUCGACAAAGUCUCAAAGCCUGUUUAUGGCGAGACCAGAAGCCAAGCGUGCCAGGAUGUGCUCGGCCACGAGAAGGCGAGCAGAAUCCCAAGCGUUGAAGAAAUUACCUAAGGCAUGCAAAGGCUCGUCAAGUCUCAAAGCCUGUUUAUGGCGAGACCAGAAGCCAAGCGUGCCAGGAUCUGUUCGGCCACGAGAAGGCGAGCAGAAUCCCAAGCGUUGAAGAAAUUACCUAAGGCAUGCAAAGGCUCGUCAAGUCUCAAAGCCUGUUUAUGGCGAGACCAGAAGCCAAGCGUGCCAGGAUCUGUUCGGCCACGAGAAGGCGAGCAGAAUCCCAAGCUUUGAAGAAAUUGCCUAAGGCAUGCAAAGGCUCGACAAAGUCUCAAAGCCUGUUUAUGGUGAGACCAGAAGCCAAGCGUGCCAGGAUCUGCUCGGCCACGAGAAGGCGAGCAGAAUCCCAAGCUUUGAAGAAAUUAUCUAAGGCAUGCAAAGGCUCGACAAAGUCUCAAAGCCUGUUUAUGGCGAGACCAGAAGCCAAGCGUGCCAGGAUCUGCUCGGCCACGAGAAGGCGAGCCGAAUCCCAAGCUUUGAAGAAAUUGCCUAAGGCAUGCAAAGGCUCGACAAAGUCUCAAAGCCUGUUUAUGGCGAGACCAGAAGCCAAGCGUGCUAGGAUGUGCUCGGCCACGAGAAGGCGAGCAGAAUCCCAAGCUUUGAAGAAAUUACCUUAGGCAUGCAAGGGCUCGACCAAGUCUCAAAGCCUGUUUAUGGCGAGAUCAGAAGCCAAGCGUGUCAGGAUCUGCUCGACCACGAGAAGGAGAACAGAAUCCCAAUCAUUGCAGAGAUUACCUAAGGCAUGCAAAGGCUCAUCAAGUCUCAAAGCCUGUUUUAUGGCGAGACAGAAGCCAAGCGUGCCAGGAUCUGCUCAACCACGAAAAGGUGAGCAGAAUCCCAAUCCUUGAAGAAUUGAAGGCAUGCAAAGGCUCGUCAAGUCUCAAAACCUGUUUAUGGCGAGACCAGAAGCCAAGCGUGCCAGGAUCUACUCGACCACGAGAAGGCGAGCAGACUCCAAAGCAUUCGAAAAAAUUCCUAAGGCAUGCAAAGACUCACCAAGUCUCAAAGCCUGUUUUAUGGCGAGACAGAAGCCAAGCGUGCCAGGAUGUGCUCGACCACGAGAAGGCGAGCAGACUCCGAAGCAUUCGAAAAAAAUUCCUAAGGCAUGCAAAGGCUCACCAAGUCUUAAAGCCUAUUUUAUGGCGAGACAGAAGCCAAGCGUGCCAGGAUCUGCUCAACCACGAGAAGGCGAGCAGACUCCGAAGCAUUCGAAAAAAUUCCUAAGGCAUGCAAAGGCUCACCAAGUCUCAAAGCCUGUUUUAUGGCGAGACAGAAGCCAAGCGUACCAGGAUCUGCUCGACAACUAGAAGGCGAGCAGACUCCGAAGCAUUUGAAAAAAUUCCUAAGGCAUGCAAAGGCUCACCAAGUCUCAAAGCCUGUUUUAUGGCGAGACUAGGAGCCAAGCAUGCUAGGGUCUGCUCGACCACGCGAAGGCGAGCAGAAUCCCAAGCAUUGAAGAAUUUUCAAAGGCAUGUGGCAAAACCAUGUGCCAAGCCAGAACCUGCUCGACCAGACAAAGACGAGCCGAUUCUCAAACGAAAAAUAACUCAUGAUUACGACACAAGAAAGUAAUCAAAAAUAUUUUUAUUAAUUUGUUAAUAAUUAACAGAGGAGAUAAUCUUCACAAACAUUGUUCAUUACAAUACAAGAAACAUAUUUAAGAAGAUGGUGGGUCCGCAAGCCGAGCAUCCUCAGUUAGAUGGUCCACCUCAGGUGCUGGGGGAGUAUCUCCAGUUGCGUCUGGGGGGGUACUCGCCUCACCAGCAUCAGCAGGGAUUACACGGGGAGGAGAGUUUUCCUCUUCUAUCACCAUUGGUGCCACCUCUUCGGCAUCCUCCUUUGCAGCCUCCUCGUCCAUAUGUUGGGCGACACCAGCUGCAAGGUCGUCCAUCUUUAGAUCAGGAUGCUGCUUCCCGAGGACGGCCAUGAUGCAACGAUAAGAAUGCCGAAGUCCCUGGUCGUACUGGUUGUCGGCCUCCUUCUCCAAGUUCUCGACCUGACCUCGGUGGGAAUCGCGGAGGGAUUCGAGCUGAGCCUCAUACAUAGCCUUCUGCCUUUGAAGAUCCUCCUUGACCUUGGCCAGCUCUUCCUCGAGAGUAAUAGCCUUGGCUUGAGCAAGAGAUUCUCGCUCAAUCAACUUCAGAUUCUCGAGGUUUAAGUCCCCUGCUUUCUUCUCAGCAACAUCAGCUCUGGUCGUCGCCGACUGAAUGUCCUCCUUCAUCUUCCUAUCAUAACGGCCAACCUUGGCCUUAUAGUAGGUGGUCAUGCAGCUGAGAUGGAAAGCGCUAUACUGCAUGGCCCCCACCAGCUCGCCUAAGGUGUAGCCAUCAAAGUCCUCGAGGUCCUUCUUGCUCACGAUUUUGGAAAGCUCGUUGAGAUAGGGGGCCAAGUGUUCUGCUCGGCUGUCAGGUAAACGAGAUCUAUGCCCGACAAGAGGCGAAGAGGAAGCAGGAUCAGUGGCUGCUCCACUGGUCUCGUCGAGUUUGGCAGAAAGAAGAGGUAAAGUCUUCAAGGGAGAGACCUGCUGCACGAUGUUGGCCCGCUUUGCAGUAGGGGCAUCCUUGUUCUGGUCCCUCUUCGUGGUUUGGGGUCGAGAACGUUUCCUGUUUAGAGCCCCAAUCACGGCGUCCUCCAUCUUAUGACCAGGGAGUAUCAAGCGAGACUCGAGCAAGUUGUAUGUAGUUAUCAGCUCCCGGCUCGAGCAGGAAUUGGCUAGCACAGCCUCGACCCGUUUGAGCUGGCCAGGUUUGAGCGAGAAAUGAACACCCCAAGAAACUACAACACAAACAGACACUUGGUUAGAGACAAACCAACAAAGCGAGAACAAUUACGGAUACAAGACAUCUAAAGCGAACAGGCAACCUGGGACCGUGAAACGGGGUGGAACGCGAUAAUCCUUCCCGUCUAUUUGUGCAACUUGACCCCAAGGACCCCCAGCAAAAAAGAAUUUCCUCUUCUAAUUCCCACCACCACCAGUAGGGAGGUCGGUUAUGGGUUUCCUGGUCUUGGUACUAGAUUGAAAGUAGUACCAGCCGGCAUCUUUGGGGCUGCUCUUUAGCUGGUACAGGUGCUUCACCUCAUCAACUGUGGACUCGCUUUGGCAACAUCUGUCCCACAAUAUGAACAGACCAGAAAGUACUCUCCAACCAUUUGGGUUCAGCUGACCAGGAGAUAGAUUCAGCCCGUUAAGUAUCCGGGCAAAGUAAGGUUGCACGGGACACCUCAGCCCAUACUUAAAACUAUCCAGAUACAGGGUAACGUAUCCCCUAGGAGGCCGGCUAGGAGUAUCCUUCUUUCCUGGGACCUUAAGAGGGAUUUCACCAGGAAUACUAUACCUAAGCCGGAGGUCAUUGAGCUCAUCAAACGUGGUUAUGCAUGUCAUGUAAUCAAUAGCGUAAUCCCGCGAUAGGGCUCUACCUCCUAUUGUACUCCGCCCUUCUGGUCGCGACGCUCCUGAUGGGGACACCUCGCCAGAAUCAUCUCCUCGGCCCUCACUCAGGGUGUUCUCCGAGCCAGAAGACCCCUCUUCAUCACUAUCUCUGCUCGAGGAGGUCGUUUACGGAGACAUCCUCCUAGCGCUAGUGCCGACACUAGAUCUAAUGGGCUCUAAGGGGAUCCCGGGGUCAAAAGCAGGAUCAGUGAGCAGACUAGGCAGGAAGUCCAACUCAUCGUCGUCAACCUCAAUGACCUUCUCUUUACCUUUCGACAUUCCCUAAACUCUAACCACAACACCACCACCAACUACUACCCGAACAAAAGAGAACAAAAAUUAUCUACAACUAUCCGAGACCAAGGAGAUAGAAGAAAUACCUGAAGUAAUGGUUCAGUCGGUGAAAGACAGAGAUGGAGGCCUUUAUGCCGGAACUUCUUUGCCGGAGAGACAGGGACGGAGACAGAGGGAAUGAUGAAUUUGCUGUUUGAAAGGAUUUAGGUUUCCUAAUGGGGACGGCCUCUUGGGUUGCCAGCAUUUAACGGCACCAAAUCCCAAGGGCCUCGUAACCGUUGGUUUGAAAUUCGAAUAGAGGGGCAGAUUUCUGCCACAUCACCUCGUCCGCAAUUAAAUGCGAUAUGACUCUUGGCAGCCUUUUCCAGUCCCACGCGACCAAGAACCGCUAAGUUUCUACUGCUGGUCCAUUACAUUACCCAACACCAGAAACUGGGGGACCGGUGUUUGAGGGAAAUACUCUGACGAGACCAGACGUGAUGAGCAGAUGUUUGGUGGUAGAAGUCUGCGAGCAGGUGUGUCCUGUAAGAGCCAGGUAGCAGGGGAACAGGGGCAGGAAUAUCCUGCUCAUCCACGAGCACGUCAUCCGCGAGGCCAAUUUCCUGUAAGAAGCAUAAAGCCAUUCCUGCUGUAUUCUUGCUAAGGGUUGAUUCGAGGAGACCCGGUCAACGACAGUUGGCGAGGCAUGCUCUCCAGCCCGAGAAUCUAGGCACGAAGGCCACGCAACCACCCACGACUACGGAAAUGGGGAAUCCACGUUCGAGAGGUGGGAGGAUAACGGACGUAGACUGCGGAAAACUGGGAUUCAGAGGAAGCCUAUAAAAAUGUAGCCAACGAAGGUAAAAUGGUUAGCAAUUUUGAGAUUAGAAGGGAGAUAAAGAAAUUCUAAAGAAGAGAAAACUACCCAAAAGCCAUAAGAUCUGUGGCAAGCGUUCCCCGAACCUUCAUAUCUGACUUGAGCGUCGGAGGGUUUGCGUCGGGAAAACAACCGGCGUACUCUGACUUGUCUGUGUGCGCAGGAACCUCUGGAGAAGAAGCUUUACGAGGAGAGAUCCUGGUCGUGGUGAAGUUGAUCGAGCAGAGACCCUGGUCGUAGAACGAGGAGAACCAGAAUCUCGCAUCAACAAAACGUGUAUUUCAACCUGAGUACUAGCGAUUACCAGUGACUGAUUAACACUUGUUUUAAUUGUAUUCAGCAGUCAUAAAAAUUUACUUUUUCUUGUUAUUUAUUUAUACCACACAUUUUGACUACCACAAACUUAAGUUGCUUGGCUGACGUAUUUACCACAAAUAAAAACUAACAUUCGAGGUUUUUCUUUCGACAUUUCUAUAGAUGUUUUAACAUUUUAGAUUACAAUAUUUUUCAAAACUUGAUUUAGUCACUGAUUGUUGACUACGACGACGACAAAAAAUCUAUUUCGUUGUGAAAAGGAAUCCACAAGAGUACAAGACGGAGCCUUGAUCCAGUAAUAUUACGGAAAAUGGUAUUUUGUUUCCUUACAAAUGAAGAGAGGUUCUGUCUUUGCAGUGGGUAAGGUGAGGGUAUAGAACAUAUUAAUGGCUUUACUUAUCAUCAUCAACUUCCUUCUGUGUCUCUCAAUCUUUGUCUUCUUCUUUGUUUUGCAAAGGAACAUAACCUCAAGAAAUAAUACUAAAUUACCACCAGGCCUCCGGGGCCUUCCUUUCAUCGGUAACGUGCACCAGCUUGAUGUCUCAAAGCCUCACGUGUUAUUUUGGGAACUGUCAAAAAAAUAUGGCCCCCUCAUGUCCUUGCGUCUUGGGUUUUCGCCAUCCUUAGUAGUUUCCUCGGCGAAAAUGGCUAAAGAGAUAUUACAAACCCAUGACCUUCAAUUUUGCAGCAGGCCAGCCUUGGUAGCACAACAAAAGUUAUCUUACAAUGGUCUUGAUUUAGCGUUUUCACCCUAUGAUGAAUAGUGGAGAGAGAUAAGAAAAAUUUGUGUCAUUCAUCUCUUUAACUCUAAUAGGGUACAAAAUUUUCGACCCAUUAGAGAAGAUGAAGUUUCAAGAAUGAUUGAAAAGAUUUCAAAAUCAGUUGGUGCUUCUAAUCCCGUAAACUUAAGUGAGGUAAUGAUGUCUCUUACCAGCACCAUUAUUUGUAGAAUUGGUUUUGGCAAGAGGUACGAUGAAGAUAAAGCAACAAGUGGAAGAAGUAGAUUCCAUGCCCUGCUUAAUGAAACUCAAGCCUUGUUUGUAAGCUUUUUUGUUACAGAUUAUUUUCCUUUCAUGGACUGGAUUGAUAACCUCAGAGGAAUGAUGAAACGCCUGCAAAAUAACUUCCAAGAACUCGAUGGAUUCUACCGGGAACUCAUCGACGAGCAUUUGGAUCCAAACAGAACUAAAUCAGAAUUGCCGCAACAGGAGGAUAUAAUUGAUAUUUUACUUCAAAUAAGAAAAGAUCGUGGAUUUAAAGCUGACUUGACUUUGGAUCACAUCAAAGCAGUGCUCAUGGUGAAUAAUUUUAUAAAUAGUUAUAUGUAGACCGGUGCUUAGGCACAGACUCAAAAUUUUGCGCAGAUACCCAAUUUUACAGUCUUGUAAAAUGUUUUAUAGUGCUGUCAAGUGCUCUCUGAUGUCCCCAUCUGAGCACGAUUAACUUAAUAUAGUUUUAUUUGCUUUAACUAAUCUUAUAUGUAUAUAUUUAUGUUCUUUUUUUUUUAAUUUGCUUUUUUAAGUAAUUUAAUAUGUAUAUAUGUAUGUUGUUUGUUUGGCAGAACG